Aegilops tauschii subsp. strangulata is the source of this 371-nucleotide non-coding RNA. NCBI's taxonomy places the organism in Eukaryota, Viridiplantae, Streptophyta, Magnoliopsida, Poales, Poaceae. The record is from RefSeq and is a predicted model, not a curated record.
GGACGGGUUCCCUGGAGCAACGCCAUGCUCCAGUGGCAGUGCACUCGGUUCCAUUUCCAGCCCAUGAACUAGAUGAACGGGGCAUUGUACUGAUUUUUCUCCUUUGAUUACUGGAGCCCGAAAGUGAGGCCACGACCAGGAGCUAGGAGACGGUGGACUAGACAUUUUUCUCCCUGUUAAUUUCGUCUCUCUCUCCAUAAGUUUCUAUCACUCCUCUCUGUUGUUAACUUUCUCUCCGUUAAUUCUUUAUGAAGAAUCAACAGAUUGUCAAUCCCACUCUGAAUGAGUGCGACGGGUUCAGUGGGCAUCUGUGACUAUAUCCUACAGCUUCGUAUAAUCUAUGUAAUUGAGCUAUUUUUGGCACUCUCGAA